GGGAUAAUUUAUCUCUGUGUUGUAGCUAACGCGUUAAGCACUCCGCCUGGGGACUACGGUCGCAAGACUAAAACUCAAAGGAAUUGACGGGGACCCGCACAAGCGGUGGAGCAUGUGGUUUAAUUCGAUGCAACGCGAAAAACCUUACCACUCCUUGACAUGGAGAUUAGAUCCUUCUUAACGGAAGGGCGCAGUUCGGCUGGAUCUCGCACAGGUGCUGCAUGGCUGUCGUCAGCUCGUGUCGUGAGAUGUUGGGUUAAGUCCCGCAACGAGCGUAACCCUCAUCCUUAGUUGCCAGCGGGUUAAGCCGGGCACUUUAAGGAAACUGCCAGUGGUAAACUGGAGGAAGGUGGGGAUGAUGUCAAGUCAGCACGGCCCUUAUGGGGUGGGCUACACACGUGCUACAAUGGUGACUACAAUAGGUUGCAAUGUCGCAAGGCUGAGCUAAUCCGUAAAAGUCAUCUCAGUUCGGAUUGUCCUCUGCAACUCGAGGGCAUGAAGUCGGAAUCGCUAGUAAUCGUGGAUCAGCAUGCCACGGUGAAUACGUUCUCGGGUCUUGUACACUACUGCCCGUCACGCCA
Molecule: ribosomal RNA, 581 nt
Filed under: Anaplasma phagocytophilum
Lineage: Bacteria; Pseudomonadati; Pseudomonadota; Alphaproteobacteria; Rickettsiales; Anaplasmataceae
Description: bacterial SSU rRNA
Rfam family: Bacterial small subunit ribosomal RNA
Source: RNAcentral